GUUUGUUAAUCCCAUGGGCAGAGGAGGGCCUUCCUUCCAGCAACUGGGGGUCACCCACUUCUGCUGCCCGGUGUUAAUACAGGGGAGCUGUUUCACUCAGGAACAGCAUGUUCUUUGGGGGCACUUUAAAGCCAGGCAAUUAACUCUAAUUGAUAUCUUCCUUUGGAAAUCCCCGAUAACAGAUCUUGUGUCUUAGUUUGGGUUUCCCCAGAGCAGACCGAGAGGCAAAGAUUGAAGGACAGAUGGAAGGUCAAGGCAAAAGAGAAGCAGAAAUGAGCCAGGGGAAGGGAGACAACCCCAAUGAAGCAAGUUAUCAAGACCGCAGGCAGCUGGAGUUUCAUCUCACCAGGUGUAGGUGGCCACUGGGGCUGGCGCCAUCUUGACUUGAACUGGACGUCUAAGAUGGCUUCUCAGCACUCUCCCUGGGGAGUGGCUGGAUUUCUUUCAUGGAGGCGCAGAGCUACAUGAGGUGGGAAGCCCAGAACUCCCCCAGCCUCACUUCUACCAUGUUCCAAAAUACCACGAGGUCAAGAUCAUUCCAGAUUCCAGGCUCAGGAAGAAUAGACCUCAGACCUCAAGGAGGAGAGCCACACAGCCCUUCCUACUUCCUGUGGGGGAACUACUGGUCACCUCUGGAGCCUUGCUUGCUACUAUCCUAUGAGUGGGUCCUCAGCACCUGCCCUGUACCGCCUCACAGAACCAGGACCGAGGAGGUAGGUGCCAACAUUGUCCUGCACACACAGAAACAGAAACAAGAAGUAAGUCGUUUGCCCAAAACCCUGCAGCUUCUAAGGGG
Long non-coding RNA from Talpa occidentalis (Iberian mole), 796 nucleotides. RefSeq lists it as uncharacterized. The record is from RefSeq and is a predicted model, not a curated record. The transcript has 4 exons. Lineage: Eukaryota; Metazoa; Chordata; Mammalia; Eulipotyphla; Talpidae.